RNAcentral lists this long non-coding RNA (1937 nucleotides) under Pan troglodytes (chimpanzee). RNAcentral's name for it is "long non-coding RNA NONPTRT008660". Lineage: Eukaryota; Metazoa; Chordata; Mammalia; Primates; Hominidae. The record is from RNAcentral.
GCUUGAACCCAGGAGGUGGAGGUUGCAGUGAGCCGAGAUGGCACCAUUGCACUCCAGCUUGGGCAACAAGAGCGAAACUCCAUCUGAAAAAAAAAAAAAGUUACAACUUUGGCACCAACUCAGGCCUAAGUGUCAUCUUCCCUGAAUUACUCCUAUGCUUCUGCAUGCAUCUAUCUCGUCUAUUCUCUCCUCGGAUGUCUAUGUCCCCUUCCAAACUCUACUGUCUGAUACAUCCUGCCAUGAUGGUCACUCACACCCUCUCAGGUGUUUAGGAAGCCCAAUAACAUCAUUCAGGGACGUAAGUAAGAGAUCCACUCCUCAGCCUGUAGUCACACCUUCCUGGCCCCUGAAAAGAUUUACCACCAUAAUCUGAAGCAUGUCCUCCUAAAUGGACCCAUAACUAACUUACUGUAGUUCGCUCAUUAGCUUUCAUAUAUUGGAUGUCUCCAUUAUCAACACCCUCCCAGAUACCCCAUCCUGUAUGUCUAGUUAUCCAUUUGAUGCCAAGACUUAUUGGUCUCUGAUUCUUCAUAUGGCCAAAACAACCCUCUUGCUAUCCACAGUGAAUAUUGUGUCAAUACCAACUUCAUGUCAGCAGAUGCAGCAUCCAUGGUUACAGCUGCAAAGAUCAAAAACCUUGGGCUCAUGCCCAAUUCCUCUUUCAUGCUCUUAUCACCCACAUUAGAAAACCUAGCUGUCGGCCGGGCAUGGUGGCUCACACCUGUAAUCCCAGCACUUUGGGAGGCUGAGGCGUGCGGAUCACCUGAGGUCGGGAGUUCAAGACCAGCCUAACCAACAUGGAGAAACCCCAUCUUUACUAAAAAUACAAAAUUAGCCAGGGUGGUGGUGCAUGCCUGUAAUCCCAGCUACUGGGGAGGCUGAGGCAGGAGAAUCACUUGAACCCGGGUGAUGGAAGUUGCGGUGAGCCGAGAUCGUGCCAUUGCACUCCAGCCUGGGCAACAAAAGCAAACUCCGUCUCAAAAAAAAAAAAAAAAAAAAAAAAAAAAAGAGAGAAAACCUAGCUGUCUGCCAGGUACGGUGUCUCAUGCCUGUAAUCCCAGCACUUUGGGAGGCCAAGGCAGGUGAAUCACCUGAGGUCAGGAGUUCGAGACCAGCCUGGCCGACAUGGUGAAACCUCGUGUCUACUAAAAAUACAAAAAUUAGCCAAGUGUGGUGGUUCAUGCCUGGAAUCCCAACUGCUCGGAAUGCUGAGGCAAGAGAAUCACUUGAACCCGGGAGGCGGAGGUUCCAGUGAGCAGAGAUCAUGCCAUUGCACUCCAGCCUGGGUGACAAGACCGAAACUGCGUCUCAAAAAAGAAAGAAAGAAAGAAAGAAAACCUAGCUGUCUUUUUACAAAAAGUGAAUCCUGAAUCCAGACCCAAGUGAUUUACCACAUAUCUGAUCCAUUAAGCCUCACCUAGAUUAUGGCAGGAGCCUUAUCUCUGACCUUUCUUCCUCUUCCCUCAACCCACAGUCUAUGCAACAAGGUCCAACCAGAUGAAGCCUGUAGCCAGGUAGAACUGUGGUAAUAUCACCUCCUGACUUUGAUCCGUUUUAUCUCUAAGCAUUUCACAACCUGGUAGCAAAUCCUGGGUUAAUCUUACAAGGGUGUUUACAUUGGUUGACAGAAAUGGGAAUACCUCCAUAUAACCUGCCAUGGCCUUAGUAUCCUGGGUUUAGAGAUUCUCCAGGGUCCUCGGAUCAAAGGACUGAAAAAAUGGCACUUAAGAGUCCCAGCACACCACAAGCUAGAGAACCUGUGGAUGGGGUCAGGACCAAUGAGGGGAUUGAACACCCUCCACUUUCCUGUGUGGGUUCCCUAAGUGCUUCUGCAGCCAGGAGUGCCUGAGGGGAGAGGCAGACAUUACAAACAUGUCACGGGAUUUGAUAAGCUCAGGCCUCCCUGAACCCUUUCUUGUCCCUGGAGCCAGGUGGCA